CUGCGAAAGCCGGAUUAAUACCGCAUACGCUCUAUGGAGGAAAGCGGGGGACUCGCAAGGGCCUCGCGCUCAAGGGGCGGCCGAUGGCGGAUUAGCUAGUUGGUGGGGUAAAGGCCUACCAAGGCGACGAUCCGUAGCUGGUCUGAGAGGACGACCAGCCACACUGGGACUGAGACACGGCCCAGACUCCUACGGGAGGCAGCAGUGGGGAAUUUUGGACAAUGGGGGCAACCCUGAUCCAGCAAUGCCGCGUGUGUGAAGAAGGCCUUCGGGUUGUAAAGCACUUUUGUCCGGAAAGAAAACCUGCCUGUUAAUACCGGGUGGGGAUGACGGUACCGGAAGAAUAAGCACCGGCUAACUACGUGCCAGCAGCCGCGGUAAUACGUAGGGUGCGAGCGUUAACCGGAAUUACUGGGCGUAAAGCGUGCGCAGGCGGUUUGCUAAGACCGAUGUGAAAUCCCCGGGCUUAACCUGGGAACUGCAUUGGUGACUGGCAAGCUAGAGUAUGGCA
Molecule: ribosomal RNA, 511 nt
Filed under: uncultured Burkholderia sp.
Lineage: Bacteria; Pseudomonadati; Pseudomonadota; Betaproteobacteria; Burkholderiales; Burkholderiaceae
Description: bacterial SSU rRNA
Rfam family: Bacterial small subunit ribosomal RNA
Source: RNAcentral